This 407-nucleotide ribosomal RNA is filed under the name uncultured bacterium. Its description in RNAcentral is "partial 16S ribosomal RNA". It matches the Rfam family "Bacterial small subunit ribosomal RNA", at positions 30 to 526 of the family's 1533-position model. The record is from RNAcentral.
AUUGAACGCUGGCGGCAGGCCUAACACAUGCAAGUCGAGCGGAGCGGCGGACGGGUGAGUAAUGCCUAGGAAUAUGCCUGGUGGUGGGCGAUAACGUCCGGAAACGGGCACUAAUACCGCAUACUAUCAGAUGAGCCUAGGUCGGAUUAGCUAGUUGGUGGGGUAAAGGCCUACCAAGGCGACGAUCCGUAACUGGUCUGAGAGGAUGAUCAGUCACACUGGAACUGGGCAACGGUCCAGACUCCUACGGGAGGCAGAAGUGGGGAAUAUUGGCAAAUGGGCGAAAGCCUGAUCCAGCAAUGCCGCGUGUGUGAAGAAGGUUUUCGGAUUGUAAAGCAUGUUAAGUUGGGAGGCGUUACCAACAGAAUAAGCACCGGCUAACUUCGUGCCAGCAGCCGCGGUAAUAC